GUUGAGACGCGCUGGGUGUCCUCCUUCAGCCGGCAGCUCUGUGAACUCUGCUCAGUGGACGAGUGAAGAUAGCCCAGCGUGAUAGGAGGCAAUGCAAGUCAGAUCAUGAGGGAGCUGAGCGGGCCGUUGCCAUGGCGCCCUGAUGACGCUCUGAGGCUGGAUGGGGAGAGUUGAGAGGGAGGGGUGGAGAGAAGAGGAAGACGGUAGCUGCACCAAAGAUUGAGUGGGUUUGAGGCGAUGACUCACACUGUUUAUAAAAAAAA
RNAcentral lists this long non-coding RNA (263 nucleotides) under Oryzias javanicus (javanese ricefish). RNAcentral's name for it is "lncRNA (ENSOJAG00000013676.1)". The record is from RNAcentral. Lineage: Eukaryota; Metazoa; Chordata; Actinopteri; Beloniformes; Adrianichthyidae.